UUAAAGGGGGGAGGGUGUAACCCAGGGUGAAAACUGCCCUUAGUCCCGCCUUACUGCCCCAUUGGUUAGAGUGACAGUCAGUCACACAGUGCAUGCAGCCAAUUGACACACCUGAGGCAAUUAUUUAGGCUUGCUCCAGCUUUCCCCAGUCAGAUGUGAGGGGGAGAGCUGGAGACAAAGGAGCUACAGAUCCGAGAAAUCCAGUGAGUUUGGAGCCUUGGAGCUGCCAUACUCUCAUCUAUUAUUGGAAUUGGCCAGGUGAUCCCUUUUUAGGGAAAAAGAUGGCGAGCUUCUGAAAACUGGCUGGAGCCAGGAGAGCCUUAAGAAUCACUCCACACUGGACUGGUCUGUAUCAUUUCCCCCCUCCAUCUCACCACUCAGGUAUACACUCCAUUAUUCACCUCUUCAUCCCAAACAACUUGCGCUGGGACAUUUUUCAACUUAAAUAUCUGGAUAAUCCAACCAUGGAUUUCUGAAUGUGUGUCGGGUCAGACUCUGGACUGAUCAGUGGGGAAUUUAAGACCAGUUGUGCACAAACAAAAGAAGGAUUGCCACAGUACUGUGUAUUUUUUGUAUUUAUUUUGGGUUCUAUGUAUGUUGUCUUGUAUUGUUUACUUUAAAUUUGUCUAAUACAUGGUAUUGAAAGCAGUUAUUUUGUGUCGUUUUAUUGAUUACUGACAACGGCUCCAGUAGACGAAUUCUAGUCUUCUGAUUUUUCU
Long non-coding RNA from Cyprinodon tularosa, 719 nucleotides. RefSeq lists it as uncharacterized. The transcript has 3 exons. Lineage: Eukaryota; Metazoa; Chordata; Actinopteri; Cyprinodontiformes; Cyprinodontidae. The record is from RefSeq and is a predicted model, not a curated record.